GAUGAACGCUGGCGGCGUGCCUAAUACAUGCAAGUCGAGCGAACAGACGAGGAGCUUGCUCCUCUGACGUUAGCGGCGGACGGGUGAGUCACACGUGGAUAACCUACCUAUAAGACUGGGAUAACUUCGGGAAACCGGAGCUAAUACCGGAUAAUAUAUUGAACCGCAUGGUUCAAUAGUGAAAGACGGUUUUGCUGUCACUUAUAGAUGGAUCCGCGCCGCAUUAGCUAGUUGGUAAGGUAACGGCUUACCAAGGCAACGAUGCGUAGCCGACCUGAGAGGGUGAUCAGCCACACUGGAACUGAGACACGGUCCAGACUCCUACGGGAGGCAGCAGUAGGGAAUCUUCCGCAAUGGGCGAAAGCCUGACGGAGCAACGCCGCGUGAGUGAUGAAGGUCUUCGGAUCGUAAAACUCUUUUAUUAGGGAAGAACAAAUGUGUAAGUAACUAUGCACGUCUUGACGGUACCUAAUCAGAAAGCCACGGCUAACUACGUG
Molecule: ribosomal RNA, 497 nt
Filed under: uncultured bacterium
Lineage: Bacteria
Description: partial 16S ribosomal RNA
Rfam family: Bacterial small subunit ribosomal RNA
Source: RNAcentral